GUCUAAAUAGUAAAUAGCUGUGUUUUUAAGUACUAGUAUUAAAGUUCUAACGCUGGAAAUUAAGUCUAGCGUUUGAGAUGCAGUUUUGCACAGAAUCUUUAACGUCAAUAAUGUUGUAAUUGACAUCUCCAGGGCUAGAAUUUAUUUAUUUUUUUAUGUGUAACAUAUUUGUUUUUCGUUCGUUUUUUUCUUUAUAUAUCAAUAAGGCCGUUAGUUUUCUCGUUACAAUUGUUUUACAUUGUCAUUUCGGGGCCUUUUAUAGCUGUCCAUGCAGUAUGGGCUUUGCUUAUUACUGAAGGCCGUACGGCGACCUCUAGUUGUUACUUUAUGUGUCAUUUUGGUCUCUUGUGGAGAGUUGUAUCAUUGGCAAUCGUACCACAGAAAGAACAUUGAUAAUAAAACGGAUAUAUACAAAUUGAAAACAAAUCGCGUAAGAAAAAUCAAUUAUUGGUAUGUUAGUUUUCUUUGGUAUCAUUAAUAUUUUUGGCUCAACUUCUUAAUCAUGAUCAGGCAAAAUUAUUGGCUUUUUAUUCUGACAUUAUUUUUUUUCUUAUUCCUAUUCCACCCCAUUUUUCGGCAUAUUACACGUCCGUUUUAUUUGGUCAUGACAUCGCGGACUCCUAACGGAUGCAAAAAUUUUGUAAAUGUAAAACUUUUGUUUAUCCUUU
Molecule: long non-coding RNA, 668 nt
Filed under: Mytilus galloprovincialis (Mediterranean mussel)
Lineage: Eukaryota; Metazoa; Mollusca; Bivalvia; Mytilida; Mytilidae
Source: RNAcentral